UAAUUGAAGAGUUUGAUCAUGGCUCAGAUUGAACGCUGGCGGCAGGCCUAACACAUGCAAGUCGAGCGGCAGCACAAGGGAGUUUACUCCUGAGGUGGCGAGCGGCGGACGGGUGAGUAAUGCCUAGGGAUCUGCCCAGUCGAGGGGGAUAACAGUUGGAAACGACUGCUAAUACCGCAUACGCCCUACGGGGGAAAGGAGGGGACCUUCGGGCCUUCCGCGAUUGGAUGAACCUAGGUGGGAUUAGCUAGUUGGUGAGGUAAUGGCUCACCAAGGCGACGAUCCCUAGCUGUUC
This 295-nucleotide ribosomal RNA is filed under the name Shewanella xiamenensis. Its description in RNAcentral is "partial 16S ribosomal RNA". It matches the Rfam family "Bacterial small subunit ribosomal RNA", at positions 1 to 292 of the family's 1533-position model. Lineage: Bacteria; Pseudomonadati; Pseudomonadota; Gammaproteobacteria; Alteromonadales; Shewanellaceae. The record is from RNAcentral.